GGCAGGCCUAACACAUGCAAGUCGAGGGCCAUCGGGAUUGAAGCUUGCUUCAAUUGCCGGCGACCGGCGCACGGGUGCGUAACGCGUAUGUAACCUACCUAUAACAGGGGCAUAACACUGAGAAAUUGGUACUAAUUCCCCAUAAUAUUCGGAGAGGCAUCUCUCCGGGUUGAAAACUCCGGUGGUUAUAGAUGGACAUGCGUUGUAUUAGCUAGUUGGUGAGGUAACGGCUCACCAAGGCAACGAUACAUAGGGGGACUGAGAGGUUAACCCCCCACACUGGUACUGAGACACGGACCAGACUCCUACGGGAGGCAGCAGUGAGGAAUAUUGGUCAAUGGACGCAAGUCUGAACCAGCCAUGCCGCGUGCAGGAAGACGGCUCUAUGAGUUGUAAACUGCUUUUGUACGAGGGUAAACUCACCUACGUGUAGGUGACUGAAAGUAUCGUACGAAUAAGGAUCGGCUAACUCCGUGCCAGCAGCCGCGGUAAUACGGAGGAUUCAAGCGUUAUCCGGAUUUAUUGGGUUUAAAGGGUGCGUAGGCGGUUUGAUAAGUUAGAGGUGAAAUCCCGGGGCUUAACUCCGGAACUGCCUCUAAUACUGUUAGACUAGAGAGUAGUUGCGGUAGGCGGAAUGUAUGGUGUAGCGGUGAAAUGCUUAGAGAUCAUACAGAACACCGAUUGCGAAGGCAGCUUACCAA
RNAcentral lists this ribosomal RNA (701 nucleotides) under uncultured Bacteroidales bacterium. Its description in RNAcentral is "bacterial SSU rRNA". It matches the Rfam family "Bacterial small subunit ribosomal RNA", at positions 41 to 732 of the family's 1533-position model. Lineage: Bacteria; Pseudomonadati; Bacteroidota; Bacteroidia; Bacteroidales. The record is from RNAcentral.